UUAAGCGACUAAGCGUACACGGUGGAUGCCCUGGCAGUCAGAGGCGAUGAAGGACGUGCUAAUCUGCGAAAAGCGUCGGUAAGGUGAUAUGAACCGUUAUAGCCGGCGAUGUCCGAAUGGGGAAACCCAGUGCAAUUCGUUGCACUAUCGUUAACUGAAUACAUAGGUUAACGAGGCGAACCGGGGGAACUGAAACAUCUAAGUACCCCGAGGAAAAGAAAUCAACCGAGAUUCCCCCAGUAGCGGCGAGCGAACGGGGAGCAGCCCAGAGUCUGAAUCAGCUUGUGUGUUAGUGGAACGGUCUGGAAAGUCCGACGGUACAGGGUGAUAGUCCCGUACACCAAAAUGCACAGGCUGUGAACUCGAAGAGUAGGGCGGGACACGUGGUAUCCUGUCUGAAUAUGGGGGGACCAUCCUCCAAGGCUAAAUACUCCUGACUGACCGAUAGUGAACCAGUACCGUGAGGGAAAGGCGAAAAGAACCCCGGCGAGGGGAGUGAAAAAGAACCUGAAACCGUGUACGUACAAGCAGUGGGAGCACCUUCGGGUGUGACUGCGUACCUUUUGUAUAAUGGGUCAGCGACUUAUAUUCUGUAGCAAGGUUAACCGUAUAGGGGAGCCGCAGGGAAACCGAGUCUUAACUGGGCGUUAAGUUGCAGGGUAUAGACCCGAAACCCGGUGAUCUAGCCAUGGGCAGGUUGAAGGUUGGGUAACACUAACUGGAGGACCGAACCGACUAAUGUUGAAAAAUUAGCGGAUGACUUGUGGCUGGGGGUGAAAGGCCAAUCAAACCGGGAGAUAGCUGGUUCUCCCCGAAAGCUAUUUAGGUAGCGCCUCGUGAAUUCAUCUUCGGGGGUAGAGCACUGUUUCGGCUAGGGGGUCAUCCCGACUUACCAACCCGAUGCAAACUACGAAUACCGAAGAAUGUUAUCACGGGAGACACACGGCGGGUGCUAACGUCCGUCGUGAAGAGGGAAACAACCCAGACCGCCAGCUAAGGUCCCAAAGUCAUGGUUAAGUGGGAAACGAUGUGGGAAGGCACAGACAGCCAGGAUGUUGGCUUAGAAGCAGCCAUCAUUUAAAGAAAGCGUAAUAGCUCACUGGUCGAGUCGGCCUGCGCGGAAGAUGUAACGGGGCUAAACCAUGCACCGAAGCUGCGGCAGCGACACUAUGUGUUGUUGGGUAGGGGAGCGUUCUGUAAGCCUGCGAAGGUGUGCUGUGAGGCAUGCUGGAGGUAUCAGAAGUGCGAAUGCUGACAUAAGUAACGAUAAAGCGGGUGAAAAGCCCGCUCGCCGGAAGACCAAGGGUUCCUGUCCAACGUUAAUCGGGGCAGGGUGAGUCGACCCCUAAGGCGAGGCCGAAAGGCGUAGUCGAUGGGAAACAGGUUAAUAUUCCUGUACUUGGUGUUACUGCGAAGGGGGGACGGAGAAGGCUAUGUUAGCCGGGCGACGGUUGUCCCGGUUUAAGCAUGUAGGCUGGUUGUCCAGGCAAAUCCGGAUAAUCAAGGCUGAGGUGUGAUGACGAGGCACUACGGUGCUGAAGUAACAAAUGCCCUGCUUCCAGGAAAAGCCUCUAAGCAUCAGGUAACAUCAAAUCGUACCCCAAACCGACACAGGUGGUCAGGUAGAGAAUACCAAGGCGCUUGAGAGAACUCGGGUGAAGGAACUAGGCAAAAUGGUGCCGUAACUUCGGGAGAAGGCACGCUGGUGUGUAGGUGAAGUCCCUGCGGAUGGAGCUGAGACCAGUCGAAGAUACCAGCUGGCUGCAACUGUUUAUUAAAAACACAGCACUGUGCAAACACGAAAGUGGACGUAUACGGUGUGACGCCUGCCCGGUGCCGGAAGGUUAAUUGAUGGGGUUAUCCGUAAGGAGAAGCUCUUGAUCGAAGCCCCGGUAAACGGCGGCCGUAACUAUAACGGUCCUAAGGUAGCGAAAUUCCUUGUCGGGUAAGUUCCGACCUGCACGAAUGGCGUAAUGAUGGCCAGGCUGUCUCCACCCGAGACUCAGUGAAAUUGAACUCGCUGUGAAGAUGCAGUGUACCCGCGGCAAGACGGAAAGACCCCGUGAACCUUUACUAUAGCUUGACACUGAACAUUGAGCCUUGAUGUGUAGGAUAGGUGGGAGGCUUUGAAGCGUGGACGCCAGUCUGCGUGGAGCCAACCUUGAAAUACCACCCUUUAAUGUUUGAUGUUCUAACGUUGGCCCCUGACCGGGGUUGCGGACAGUGUCUGGUGGGUAGUUUGACUGGGGCGGUCUCCUCCCAAAGCGUAACGGAGGAGCACGAAGGUUAGCUAAUCCUGGUCGGACAUCAGGAGGUUAGUGCAAUGGCAUAAGCUAGCUUGACUGCGAGCGUGACGGCGCGAGCAGGUGCGAAAGCAGGUCAUAGUGAUCCGGUGGUUCUGAAUGGAAGGGCCAUCGCUCAACGGAUAAAAGGUACUCCGGGGAUAACAGGCUGAUACCGCCCAAGAGUUCAUAUCGACGGCGGUGUUUGGCACCUCGAUGUCGGCUCAUCACAUCCUGGGGCUGAAGUAGGUCCCAAGGGUAUGGCUGUUCGCCAUUUAAAGUGGUACGCGAGCUGGGUUUAGAACGUCGUGAGACAGUUCGGUCCCUAUCUGCCGUGGGCGCUGGAGAAUUGAGGGGGGCUGCUCCUAGUACGAGAGGACCGGAGUGGACGCAUCACUGGUGUUCGGGUUGUCAUGCCAAUGGCACUGCCCGGUAGCUAAAUGCGGAAGAGAUAAGUGCUGAAAGCAUCUAAGCACGAAACUUGCCCCGAGAUGAGUUCUCCCUGAGACUUUAAGUCUCCUGAAGGAACGUUGAAGACGACGACGUUGAUAGGCCGGGUGUGUAAGCGCAGCGAUGCGUUGAGCUAACCGGUACUAAUGAACCGUGAGGCUUAACCUU
RNAcentral lists this ribosomal RNA (2900 nucleotides) under Klebsiella pneumoniae. RNAcentral describes it as "bacterial LSU rRNA". It matches the Rfam family "Bacterial large subunit ribosomal RNA". Lineage: Bacteria; Pseudomonadati; Pseudomonadota; Gammaproteobacteria; Enterobacterales; Enterobacteriaceae. The record is from RNAcentral.